RNAcentral lists this ribosomal RNA (923 nucleotides) under uncultured bacterium. RNAcentral describes it as "bacterial SSU rRNA". It matches the Rfam family "Bacterial small subunit ribosomal RNA", at positions 86 to 1011 of the family's 1533-position model. The record is from RNAcentral.
UGCUGACGACCGGCGCACGGGUGCGUAACGCGUAUAGAACCUACCUUUUACAGGAGAAUAGCCCAGAGAAAUUUGGAUUAAUGCUCCAUAGUAUUAUUGAAUGGCAUCAUUUAAUAAUUAAAGAUUUAUCGGUAAGAGAUGGCUAUGCGUUCUAUUAGUUAGUUGGUAAGGUAACGGCUUACCAAGGCAUCGAUAGAUAGGGGUCCUGAGAGGGAGAUCCCCCACACUGGUACUGAGACACGGACCAGACUCCUACGGGAGGCAGCAGUGAGGAAUAUUGGACAAUGGGCGGGAGCCUGAUCCAGCCAUGCCGCGUGCAGGAAGACUGCCCUAUGGGUUGUAAACUGCUUUUGUAUAGGAAGAAACGUAGCUACGAGUAGCUAUUUGACGGUACUAUAAGAAUAAGGAUCGGCUAACUCCGUGCCAGCAGCCGCGGUAAUACGGAGGAUCCAAGCGUUAUCCGGAAUCAUUGGGUUUAAAGGGUCCGUAGGUUGGUCUAUAAGUCAGUGGUGAAAGUUUGCGGCUUAACCGUAAAAUUGCCAUUGAUACUGUAGGUCUUGAAUACUUGUGAAGUGGUUAGAAUAAGUAGUGUAGCGGUGAAAUGCAUAGAUAUUACUUAGAAUACCGAUUGCGAAGGCAGAUCACUAACAGGUUAUUGACACUGAUGGACGAAAGCGUGGGUAGCGAACAGGAUUAGAUACCCUGGUAGUCCACGCCGUAAACGAUGGAUACUAGUUGUUUGGCAUUAGCUGAGUGACUAAGCGAAAGUGAUAAGUAUCCCACCUGGGGAGUACGUUCGCAAGAAUGAAACUCAAAGGAAUUGACGGGGGCCCGCACAAGCGGUGGAGCAUGUGGUUUAAUUCGAUGAUACGCGAGGAACCUUACCAGGGCUUAAAUGUAGUCUGACAGGACCAGAGAUGGUU